RNAcentral lists this ribosomal RNA (398 nucleotides) under uncultured bacterium. RNAcentral describes it as "bacterial SSU rRNA". It matches the Rfam family "Bacterial small subunit ribosomal RNA", at positions 358 to 773 of the family's 1533-position model. The record is from RNAcentral.
GGAAUAUUGGACAAUGGGGGCAACCCUGAUCCAGCAAUGCCGCGUGAGUGAUGAAGGCCUUCGGGUUGUAAAGCUCUUUUGGCGGGGACGAUGAUGACGGUACCCGCAGACGAAGCCCCGGCUAACUACGUGCCAGCAGCCGCGGUAAUACGUAGGGGGCAAGCGUUGUCCGGAUUCAUUGGGCGUAAAGAGCGUGUAGGCGGUCAGGUAGGUCGGUUGUGAAAACUGGAGGCUCAACCUUCAGAGGUCGACCGAAACCCCCUGGCUAGAGUCCGGGAGAGGAGAGUGGAAUUCCUGGUGAAGCGGUGAAAUGCGCAGAUAUCAGGAAGAACACCCGUGGCGAAAGCGGCUCUCUGGAACGGUACUGACGCUGAGACGCGAAAGCGUGGGGAGCGAAC